Molecule: non-coding RNA, 167 nt
Filed under: uncultured Amylibacter sp.
Lineage: Bacteria; Pseudomonadati; Pseudomonadota; Alphaproteobacteria; Rhodobacterales; Paracoccaceae
Source: RNAcentral
AAAGCAUGUUUAAAAACUAUCGUACUAAACUUUACACCCUUUAAGCGUGCAGUUCUGAUAUAUUGAGCAGUCAUUACCUCAGCCAUAGAUGCUCGUGUCAUUCGUGCAAUAUAACCCAUGCCAUAAAGUGCUAGUGCCAUUACUGGUAAUGCAAAAUUUCUAAACGU